GAAAAGCCUGGUCAGUUUGACAUAUGGAGCUCAAUCUUAUCGCAGAAAGCACAUGAGGACAACAAAAAUCUUCCACCUCCUUAUAUUCACCCUCUCGUUAAAAGAUCAGCAAGUUCUUUGAGCGAGAAGAGCCUUGAAAUUUGUACUGAAAGUCUCGGAUCGGAGACUGGCUCUGAUGGGUUCUCUUCAUACCCUCCUUCGGAGACUGGUGACGCAGAGGAGGAGAAAGAAGAAGAACAAGAAGAGAAUAGGCUGGCCCAAAAAUAUGAGGAUAUGGAUGAUUGGCGCGUAUCCAAGUACAAUCUUGCAGCAGCUAGCAAGAAAUUGCCACAAAGAUCAUUCCCUCCGCCACUUCCGUCACUAUCUAAGCGUGAUGGAGCGUCCCUGCACAUGAGGCCUCGGCGUGAUAAUGGCCGCUUAGUUCUUGAAGCUGUCUCUGUUCCUUCACAGAACAACUUCAGAGCUGAACGCCAGGACGAUCGCCUUGUCCUCACUUUUAUCAAUAGUCCUAAUGAAGAAGAAGGACCAAA
RNAcentral lists this unclassified non-coding RNA (530 nucleotides) under Hevea brasiliensis (rubber tree). Lineage: Eukaryota; Viridiplantae; Streptophyta; Magnoliopsida; Malpighiales; Euphorbiaceae. The record is from RNAcentral.